CAGGGAGACAACAAAAUGUUAAAUAUUAUAAUUUUGUCACCUUAGGUCGAUCGGUAUCUCACGUUCUUAAUUUAUUAAGAAUUUCAAUUCCUAAGUUUUUCUAGGUCACACCCAUUAUUUUUCCUGGGCCAUUAGCUCAGGUGGUUAGAGCGCACCCCUGAUAAGGGUGAGGUCCCUGGUUCAAGUCCAGGAUGGCCCAUAUCUCUAUGUUGGGGGUAUAGCUCAGUUGGUAGAGCGCCUGCUUUGCAAGCAGGAUGUCAGCGGUUCGAGUCCGCUUACCUCCACUGAUUACCACCUCUUCCAUAACCGGUAGAAAGGAAAAGUUUUGAGUUGUGAUCAAAUUCUGAAAGAAUCUAGCUUCCUAAUGAAAUCAUUAAGAUGCUGGACUCAUUGAAUUAAUUUCAUUGUUUUCAGAGAACCUUGACAACUGCAUAGAUUAUUUUUAAAGACAAUAAGCAUCUUUAAUGAUGCAGAUUUAUUAUUUGUGCGAAUGCAUUAAUAACAAUUCUAUUGAGCUGAUGCUUCAAUUUUUGAAGUUAUU
Molecule: transfer RNA, 541 nt
Filed under: uncultured cyanobacterium
Lineage: Bacteria; Bacillati; Cyanobacteriota
Description: partial contains 16S ribosomal RNA, 16S-23S ribosomal RNA intergenic spacer, and 23S ribosomal RNA
Rfam family: tRNA (bases 212-284)
Source: RNAcentral